Molecule: ribosomal RNA, 253 nt
Filed under: uncultured bacterium
Lineage: Bacteria
Description: partial 16S ribosomal RNA
Rfam family: Bacterial small subunit ribosomal RNA
Source: RNAcentral
UACGGGGGGUGCAAGCGUUGUCCGGAAUCAUUGGGCGUAAAGCGUUCGUAGGCGGCAAGGUAAGUCUGAUGUUAAAGCCCGGGGCUCAACUCCGGUUCGGCAUUGGAUACUAUCUAGCUAGAAUGUGGUAGAGGUAAAGGGAAUUCCACGUGUAGCAGUGAAAUGCGUAGAUAUGUGGAAGAACACCAGUGGCGAAGGCGGCUCUCUGGUCUGCAACUGACGCUGAGGCUCGAAAGCAUGGGUAGCGAACAGG